This 1654-nucleotide long non-coding RNA is filed under the name Homo sapiens (human). Its description in RNAcentral is "long intergenic non-protein coding RNA 1572". Lineage: Eukaryota; Metazoa; Chordata; Mammalia; Primates; Hominidae. The record is from RNAcentral.
AGCGUCUCUAGAUCUCGUAUUUGAAUUUGUGGCGCUUGGUGUCCGCGAGUUGCCGAAUGAAGCUGAGCGUCUCAGUGGAACCAGGGAUCUCAGGGAGGGGAAGGUAUAAAAUUUUCAAAUGGAGGAGUAUACCUGAACCUAAUCAUGGAUGUGAUUUUAUAUACAGAUAAGCUGAUUCUAAAACUUACAAGAAUGGCAAAGAAACAAGAAGAGCUUAAACUGCAAUCAUCAACAGAGAAGCUUUCUGCAACCAAAGACUGAAGCCUUAGGCUAUGGCAGAAGUUGGGCGCCUGAAGUACACGUGGAAAUAUGCCAACUGAACAUUGGACUACCACCGCCUGCCCCUGGCUCAGCGCCCGGUGCCAACAGAACACCUUUCAGGAUCCACAGCAACGCAGACAACGUAAGUACCAGCCGUUCCCUGAAACCCUUUUGCAGAUUUUUUAAAAACAACCACCUAAAACAUAGAGAGAGAGAGACAAGCCUCUUUCCCCUUCUUCUCCCCUGCGUUAUGCCACCAGUGUUUCCUCAGUAGCCCCUUCCAAAUCGCUCUGCCUUCAAGUUUGUGCAUGUCUGUGUGGCAUCCCUCCUCCUCCUUCACUCCCAUAGUGGAUCUUGUAAAAGGGCUUCAGAUCGGCCCCAUUCAUCUCCCUGGUGAUAGCAGUGAAUGUAGAUAAAUCUCUGGCUGCCUGCUUGCUGCUGGAGUAUGAUUUUUAUUUUGUCUUCUGUGUAUACCUGGGUCAAAAAGUGGGAUGUAUGCAUACACAUACAUGCACAUACACAUAUUUCCUUCUCUCUCCUCUCUCUCCCUCCUUUUUCUCACACAUGCAUACAUCCUACAUAUGUGUGUAUAUGCAUAAACAUAUACACCUAUAUACAUACCCAUACCUGUAGCACAAAAUAUAUACAUAUCUAAACGUUUGUCUGAAAAUAUGCAUAUUUAUAUACACAUACAACCUUACACAUGUGUUUAUACGCAAUCGAUAGGUGCCUAUCUUUUAAUUUAUACCCAUCUAUAUCUCCAUUUAAAUAUUCCCUCUCUUCUCCCAGCAGAGGCUGUGUGCAAUUGCAAUCCAGGAUUAUACAAGCAGUAUUCUUUCCUUAUGAUUUCUAGUUGUAGACCUUUAUCCUCCUUUCUCUGCCUUCUUCGCAGCUGUAGAAUUGGCAUCUUUCCCUGAGGUUUUCCGAGUGGCAAGUGGCACCGGCUGUGGCAUGUAUUCAUGCCGCUUCCUAUGGCAUUUCUCUUCCGAUGUCUGCUUUUUCUUUGUUUGUUGUUGACUAGGCUGAAUGGUGGGGUUUUUUUUAAGUUAAUUAUAAACGAAGUUGAAAUAGCAAACAAGCCAACAGCUUGUCCCCCCCACCAAAAGAAAAAUUAGCCCCACACAAGCGCCUUCUGCUGCAACAGAUGCCCAGAUCACCCCUGGCACGGGCAAACGGGCAAACGAUUUUGGUGGUUUUCAGUUUUUUCUGUUUGUUGCUGUAUUUGUUGUUUGUUUUCCUUGUUUCUUUUUGAUUUUUCGAGGAGUCCAGAAUCCCGGCCUCUGCUUGGAACGGAACAGUGUCAUGGCGGAGACGACGGCCUUUGUCUUGCUGGGUGUGAAAACAUCCGCUGUGCUGGCUCCACUGCGGCAGAAUCAAGUUUAAAGGAAAAAAA